UCUCCCUUUCCCCCAUUCAUGCAUUCUCUUCCCCUUGCUGCAGUCGACCACCUUCUUCAUCCCAAUUCUCCUUCACCUCUCUUUCCCACUAUCUUCUUCUUCACUAUGCUGCCAACCCUCACUCCUCUCCAUUUCCCCUCCAUUUUCCAUCUUUGCCGCACCACACCCCAGCAGCCACCCACUGCCAGCAGCUUCCCACCCUCACGCCUCUAGCCCAUUGUCCCAACUCUAGCAAUCAGCUGUUCAUCACCAGCCCGCCAAUAGCCGUGUCCAUUCGAGCUGUAGUCCACCUAAGCCGAGCCAAUCUCCCCUUGGCCAAGAGCUUGUAAGGCCGUAGAAGCCACCGUCGAGCCUUCGUGCAACCCGUGGUUGUCUCGAGUCCUUGACGUCGUCGCAAGCCCGCCGCCGUCAUAAUCCGGUGAGUUAAUUCCCUAAUCGUUGAUUAGGUCGUUAAUUACGCUUAAGGGUGGUUAGUUUAGCGCUAAUAAGGGUAGUUUAGCUCGAUCUAGUGGCUUUUCGGAUUUUAGGAGCUAGAUCUAUGUAGGAUUUAGCUUGCAUGUAUGCUGUGAUGUGUGGGAAGUCUUGCAUGUGAGUUUCUUGAAGGUUUAUGGCUACUAAGCUUGCAAGAGAUGUGCUCAAAGGAGUUGAGUCCGAAUUUCUCUUCAAUCUGUUUACUGGACACUUGCCUGUUACUAUUUUUGUGGGUUAAAAUGUGCUACGAUUUUGAGGUUACUUCUUUCUUGAAAAAUAUUCUAAACAUCUUCACUUAUGACAUAUAUUUUACUCAAGCUUUUAUGGAUUUAAAAGAAUAAGAUUUCAGCUUCGUUGCAUGCAAGGAAGAAUUUCGUUUUGUGCUGGAACCAGUGACCUUUUGGUGUUUAAAAGAUUUUUAUCAAUUCUUAGGGUUCGAUUUUCAAAAGAGUUUCUCCACAAAAUUUUUUCAUCAUAUCUUGAAGUUUAACAUAGUCGAAUUUCAGAGCAAAUGGACGAGUUUUAGACCUUGAACCAAGCUGGUUUUUGAAAACAUAAUUUUUGGAUAUGGACAUAGUUUUGAUAAUGAUUUGAGCGAUUUACUGCUCAUUUUCUAGAAAGAUCUGGGUUAAGGUGUCUUCAUAAUUUUUUUUAAGUGUCCUUUAUAACAUAUUUAAAUUUUAGGAUUUUAUGAACUCGUUUGGUUAUGUUUCUGGAAUUAAUCUUGGAGACGUGCAAGUGGACUCGUUUUCUACCGGUGAGGGCCGGUUGUGGUUUUAUGGUUGCUCUUGGUGUCUUGCUUGCUGGAAAAUGUAUAUUUUGUGAUUCGGUUGAUUUUUGGCAUGUUGAGAACUUAUGCGUGAUAUUACGAGAUUGGUUGCCCUAUGUUGGUUCCGAUUUUUAUGUCAAAAGAUGGCUUUAUAAGCCUUUUAAUAGAAAAACAAUAAGGUGUUGGGUUUGGAUACCAAAACUUAAAUGUUCAACAAAAUAAGGGGGUUUUAAAGUAGAACUGUGCAAAGUUUGACGGGUUAAUUUUGAGUACAUGAGCACAUACGAAUUUUUUCCAAUAUUUUUAAAGAAAAAAAAUGGGGUGACUCUAAAUUGUUUCCAAAAUGGGUGGUUAGACAAAGAAAUAGAAAAUAAAUAUGGUGUCGGGUUCGAACGCCAAGUUUUAUGUGCUCAAUAAAAUCGUGAGGUUUCAAAUUAGAUGCGUGCAAAGUUUGACGGGUUGAUUUCAAAUACGUGACCCCGUACGAAUUUAUUUCGGAAAGUUUUGAACAAAAAAAAAAGAGUUGCCAAGUUGGUUUUUAAAAAGGGAUUUUGGUGUUCUUGGCUGUAUGAUGGAAGAAAAAAGUUGACUUGAUUGAUGAUGUGCCUGCAUGGUUAGGUUAAUUAAGUUGGUUCAGUUUAAUGAAUCACAAUUUAUUUAAUUAAUUGCGAUUUAUUUGAUUAAUCGUAAUUAGCAUAAUUAAUGACGGAUUAGCCGUUUCGUAAAAUUUUACGUUUGUUUUCUUGGAUGAAUUUAUGCGUGAAUUUGGUGACUUAUAUAUGCUAUGAAGUGCCAAUGAUUGCUUGAUGGUAGUUGUUGAUUUUUAAUACAAAACUUGGUUUGAUGGGCAUUUAAAUAGAAAAAAAUGCGAGGUGUCGAGUUUUGACACCAACUUUUAUGUACUAUAUAAAACCGUGGAAUUUUAAAAUGGGAGCGUACUAAGUUUGACGGUUCGAUUCCGAAUAUGUGACCACGCACGAUUAUUUUACUGGGAUUUUUAAUAUGAAGAAAAAGUGGCUAAGUUCAUUAUUUGGAAAUGAGGCAUUUGAACGCAAAGCGUUAUAUUCUUAGCUAAGUAUGUGCUUGUAUGGUCACUAAGUGGAUCUCGUCCUGAUGCGUAUGAUUAUGCGGGACGAUGCUUGGUUUUUAUCAGAUGCUCGGAGGAGGUCUAGAAGCCGAGUCGCAGUUGAGACUAGACUGAUGCUCCUUUAUGGAAUGCCAUCUAGGUGGGAGUUCUAGACGUUGCCGUACUCGAUGGGGCAGGAUGAUGCCCGGUUAUGACGGAUGAUCGUCGACUUUUGAGUUAGCCGUGGUCGAUGGGUCGUAAUAAUCGAAAUACGCCUGAAUGAUUGUGAUGCUUUGCCCAUGAAUAGCUAUAAUCGGGACCCAUGUGAAUGUUUGGAGGAUG
Molecule: long non-coding RNA, 2648 nt
Filed under: Eucalyptus grandis
Lineage: Eukaryota; Viridiplantae; Streptophyta; Magnoliopsida; Myrtales; Myrtaceae
Description: long non-coding RNA (EGRA_LNC002152)
Source: RNAcentral